CACACCGCGUCUAUACCCGCGAGUACAGACCGGCACAACUUUACAUAGCGCCGUAUAAAGCUUACUUCAAUACUAAUUUUGGGUAGCGGUCGUUCCAACUGCCGUUUCAGACCUCUCGGCCUUACAUUUAGACGCCAUUUUUAAACGACAGUUUGAAACGUAUCACUUAAAUCCUAAUAUAAGUUUGCAUAUCGUAUAUCAAAGUGGUACCAAAAGAAUAUACAUAUGUACAAUAUAAAAUACUGUCUAUUUCAUGAACCAAUGUGAGUACCGUUCGUGGUUAGAUAAAAUCAAAUGAACUUAGGUAUCUCAAAUAUUAAAUUACAAGUAAUUAAUUAAACAUCUAAGCUUUUGGGUUUGUUUCGUUAUGAUGUGUCGAUCAGUGAAACAGAGCCAGGAGUCGACUCGUGAUCAGACGUGCAGCAGACCAGGUAUCGGGUGCGUAUCAUAAUGAAUACGAACUUUUGGUAUAAUUUCAGUUUACAAACGUUCAAAACGUAUACUAAUCUUAUGUAUAAUGCACUAAAUCUGUAUUUUCAAUUAGUAUAACAUAAAAAUAAUAUAACAUGCAAUAUACAUACCGCUGUUUUGAUAUAACAUACAAAUAAACUAAUUACAUUUAAUAUAACAUUCAUUAUGCAUAUAAAUUAAAUCAGUAAAAUUAUUUGGAUAGCUCAGUAUUUCAUAGGUCAUCGAAACUAAUUAAUGUUAGAAAAGUAGGUUAGGUUAGAACUGUGACCCCUCAGAGAAAGAAACUGCUACCAGAAAAGUAGGUUAGGUUAGGUUAGAACUGUGACCCCUCAGAGAAAGAAACUGCUACCAGAAAAGUAGGUUAGGUUAGAACUGUUACCAUACAGAAAAAGAAACUACUACCAUAAAAAUAGAUUAGGUUAGGUUAGAACUGUUACCCCACAGAAAAAAAACUACUGCCAUAAAAAUAGGUUAGGUUAGAACUGUGACCCUCCACAGAAAGAAACUGCUACCAGAAAAGUAGGUUAGGUUAGAAUUGUGACCCCUCAGAGAAAGAAACUGCUACCAGAAAAGUAUUAGGUUAGGUUAGAACUGUUACCCCCAGAAAAAUAAAAGGUUAGGUUUAUUGCGUGGUAUUUGUUUUGUAUAUUAUAUUAUUUCAACGUUAUACCUUUUGAUACUUAUCAUAAACGAUAUUAUAUGUAAAGUUCAUUAUACAUUAUAAAAUUAUAGAAUUCAUUGUUAUACGUAUCGCACGUUAUACUUAUUGCACGUUAUGCCAUUCAAAAUUAUACCAAUUGAAUUUAUAUAUUCUGGGCAAUAUAUUAUAGGUUUGUAUACGUUCUAUUACUUACCCCCAGGGCCCAGUUUUAUAAAGUUACAAGAGUACAGGCUACAGGCACCUGUAAUGCACUGUGAACGGCUACAGGUGUUUUAUAAAUACACAUAGAUAAUUACAGUUGUAAAGAACCACGGUCAAUCUCGAUUACAUGUGAAAUCUACAGGUGUGAAGGACAUCACUAUUUAAAAAAAACGUCUGUCAUAGAUACUCUGUGCUCUACUAAAUGCUGUGUUAUUGUUUGCUCUAAAAUAUUAAUUAUUGGAAAAAUGGCCAGAAAUGAAGAAAAAAUCGAGUGGUUGAGAGCGGUGUUCGAUGCCAAGGAUAUACUUUUCGGGCCGUUUUCAGAUUAAGUUAGAUUUAAUGAAAUAUUUACCUAAUAAGUAAAUAAGUACGUUUCACAUUACAUUAUAAAAUGUAUCGUUUCGGUAGCGACUCAAAGAUAAGUACGCUGUGUAUCGAAAAUUAUGAAUAGUACACUUUAUCAUAAUGUGAAUGCACUAUACUUAAAUAAAGAGACGAAUACUAAUAAAUCAACGACAAGUAUUGGCACCCAUCUUUUUCCGUUUCCUAGUAGAUAAAAUAAAACGUAUCAUCAAUAAAAUCAAUAUCAAACAUACGUAUUGUCACUUUAUUUCCUAUGUACUAUAUACUUCAGAUACAUUAACAAAAAAGAUAAGGUCAGUGCAUGGAAAAGUAGGUAUGCAUGCCCUGGCAAAAUCGUUGGCGUUUGCGUUGGCGUGCCUAACAAUAAAGAGUAAAGUUUAAAAUCUCACAGAAAACAAAUAAUUUUAAUUAAAAUUAAGAAUUACAGGACUCAAGACGUAAGUCAGUUUUUGUUACAAGUGUACAUCUACACUUGUAAUUUACAAUAUUUUUAUAAAACGCUUGUUCGAUUAUGAGUUUAAAACUAUAAAACUCCCGUAUUUUCGUCUAUGGUUGAGCAACAGGCACUUAUACCUGUAACCUGUAAAAUUGUAAAACAGUACUUUUACAAAACGCAAAUUGUAAAAACGGAGCAAGUGUUGCCAGUAAACGCCUAUAAACUUGUAACUUUAUAAAACUGGACCCAGGGCCCAGUUUUAUAAAGUACUUGUAACUUGUAACUUUAUAAAACUGGGCCCUGGGCCCAGUUUUAUAAAGUUACAGGUUACAAGAGUACAGGCUACAGGCACCUGUAAUGCACUGUGAACGGCUACAGGUGUUUUAUAAAUACACAUAAAUAAUUACAGUUGUAAAGAACCACGAUCAAUCUCGAUUACAUGUGAAAUCUACAGGUGUGAAGCACAUCACUAUUUAAAAAAAAACGUGUGUCAUAGAUACUCGGUUCUCUACUAAAUUAUGUGUUUUUGUUUGCUGUAAAAUAUUAAUUACUGGAGAAAUGGCCAGAAAUGAAGGAAAAAUCGAGUGGUUGAGAGCGGCGUUCCAUGCCAAGGAUAUACUUUUUGGGCCGUUUUCAGAUUCAGAUUAAGUUAGAUUUAAUGAAAUAUUUACGUAAUAAGUAAAUAACAUGUAAAUAAGUAGGUACUCUUUCACAUUCUUACAUUAAAAUGUAUCGUUUCGGUAGCGGCUCAAAGUUAAAUACGGUGUGUAUCGAAAAUUAUGAAUAGUACACUUUACCAUAAUGUGAAUGCACUAUACUUAUAUAAAGAGACGAAUGCUAAUAAAUCAACGACAAAUAUCGGCAAUAAUCCCUUUCCAUUUCCUAGUAGAUAAAAUAAAACGAAUCGUCAAUAAAAUCAAUAUCAAACAUAUUGUCACUUUAUUUCCUAUUUACUAUAUAUUUCAGAUACAUUAACAAAAACUGAUAAGGUCAGUGCAUGGAAAAGUAUGCAUGCCCUGGCACACUGUUGAGAGUAAAGUUUAAAAUCUCUCAGAAAACGAGUCUACAAGUAACUGCUGUUGUGCUGUUACAGGACUCAAGACGUAUGUAAGUUUUUGUUACAAGUGUACCAAUCUACACUUGUUUUACAAUUUUUUUAUAAAACGCCUGUUCGAUUAUGAGUUUAAAACUAUAAAACUCCCGUAUUUUCGUCUAUGGUUGAGCUACAGGCACUAGUACCUGUAACCUGUAAAAUUGUAACACAGUACUUUUAUAAAACGCAAAUUGUAAAAAACGGAGCAAGUGUUGCCAGCAAACGCCUGUAAACUUGUAACUUGUAACUUUAUAAAACUGGGCCCAGGUAUCACUUUGACCAUUGACACAGGAUGACAAUCAAAACUACGUGUCCGGUGUCAUUGAAAUAAACAUUGGCUCGAGGAAGUUUAGGAUCAUAUCUUGAACAUUUGCCUCACUGUCACCGAGCCCCGUGUCGCUGCCGACAGGUAACAUCUCACUUAAAACUAAAUCCAGUUCCAUUAUUUACAAACAAAUUAACUAAAGGUAAAACGAUUCUCGCGAACACACAAAAGAUCUUUCAAUCACAAGGGUUUUCAUUUCAUGAAAUAAAUAUCGGAAUAACAUACCUUAUAUAUAAAAAGGAAACUCGACUUACACGAAAUUAUGAGUAUGAGUG
Long non-coding RNA from Cydia fagiglandana, 3825 nucleotides. RefSeq lists it as uncharacterized. The transcript is spliced from 2 exons. NCBI's taxonomy places the organism in Eukaryota, Metazoa, Arthropoda, Insecta, Lepidoptera, Tortricidae. The record is from RefSeq and is a predicted model, not a curated record.